RNAcentral lists this ribosomal RNA (326 nucleotides) under uncultured eukaryote. RNAcentral describes it as "partial 18S ribosomal RNA". It matches the Rfam family "Eukaryotic small subunit ribosomal RNA", at positions 1470 to 1796 of the family's 1831-position model. The record is from RNAcentral.
CCCUUAGAUGUUCUGGGCCGCACGCGCGCUACACUGAUGCAUUCAACGAGUCCAACCUUGACCGAGAGGUCCGGGUAAUCUUUGAAACUGCAUCGUGAUGGGGCUAGAUUAUUGCAAUUAUUAAUCUUCAACGAGGAAUGCCUAGUAAGCGUGAUUCAUCAAAUCGCGUUGAUUACGUCCCUGCCCUUUGUACACACCGCCCGUCGCUCCUACCGAUUGAGUGUGUUGGUGAGGAGUUUGGAUUGGCCUCGGAAGGUGGUUCGCCACCGUCCGUAGCUGAGAAGUUCUCCAAACCGCCCCCCUUAGAGGAAGGAGAAGUCGUAACA